Molecule: long non-coding RNA, 515 nt
Filed under: Pan troglodytes (chimpanzee)
Lineage: Eukaryota; Metazoa; Chordata; Mammalia; Primates; Hominidae
Description: lncRNA (ENSPTRG00000053691.1)
Source: RNAcentral
CUGAACUUCUAGGGUUGGUGGAGUCAGGUUGCUCUUUAUCUUGGGUUUGUGAUUUUCCUGAUGGAAAAUGGUUACCAAGAAAGGUAACCAUUUAUGGCAAGACUUAAGAAGGUCCCUCUCACAGUGGGCUUCCCAACAGGUAGAGGGAAAUGAAAAAUCCGUGAAAGCAUCCCACUGGUGAAAGUGCUAGCCACAGGGCACCUGCCACACGGAAUUCACCUACAUCUGAUUAGAAUUCGGCCAGUCAGUUAAGAGGUGAAUCACUUCAAAGAGAAGGACCAGAUUCUCAUGGACCCCACUGCCAUGCUGGCCAGACAUCUUGCUGCCAUUGUUUUCCUGUUAUUUACUCCCAAACAGAUGGUCUAUAAUGAAGAACUGACUUUUCUUUGUUCUCAAGCAAAGGACCUUUGGUCAAUCCACUCCUGGAAAUUACCUUCAGCUCUCUUUGAAAAUGGCUUCACUGUCUUCAUUUAUAAGUAAGUUUUGGUUUGUUGCACAUACAGUGUAGUCCUAGC